Molecule: ribosomal RNA, 254 nt
Filed under: uncultured bacterium
Lineage: Bacteria
Description: partial 16S ribosomal RNA
Rfam family: Bacterial small subunit ribosomal RNA
Source: RNAcentral
UACGAAGGGGGCUAGCGUUGUUCGGAAUCACUGGGCGUAAAGCGCACGUAGGCGGAUCUUUUAAGUCAGGGGUGAAAUCCCAGAGCUCAACUCUGGAACUGCCUUUGAUACUGGGGAUCUCGAGUUCGGGAGAGGUGAGUGGAACUGCGAGUGUAGAGGUGAAAUUCGUAGAUAUUCGCAAGAACACCAGUGGCGAAGGCGGCUGACUGGUCCGGUUCUGACGCUGAGGCGCGAAAGCGUGGGGAGCAAACAGG